GACGAACGCUGGCGGCGUGCUUAACACAUGCAAGUCGAACGGAAAGGCCCCUUUGGGGGUACUCGAGUGGCGAACGGGUGAGUAACACGUGAGUAACCUACCCUUGACUUCGGGAUAACUUCAGGAAACUGGGGCUAAUACCGGAUAGGAAUCCUUGCUGCAUGGUGGGGGUUGGAAAGCUUCGGCGGUUUUGGAUGGACUCGCGGCUUAUCAGCUUGUUGGUGGGGUAGUGGCUUACCAAGGCUUUGACGGGUAGCCGGCCUGAGAGGGCGACCGGCCACAUUGGGACUGAGAUACGGCCCAGACUCCUACGGGAGGCAGCAGUGGGGAAUAUUGCACAAUGGGCGGAAGCCUGAUGCAGCAACGCCGCGUGCGGGAUGACGGCCUUCGGGUUGGAAACCGCUUUCAGCAGGGGCGAAGCUUGUGGUGACGGUACCUGCAGAAGAAGCACCGGCUAACUACGUG
This 465-nucleotide ribosomal RNA is filed under the name uncultured bacterium. Its description in RNAcentral is "partial 16S ribosomal RNA". It matches the Rfam family "Bacterial small subunit ribosomal RNA", at positions 28 to 507 of the family's 1533-position model. The record is from RNAcentral.